RNAcentral lists this ribosomal RNA (2879 nucleotides) under Escherichia coli TOP293-2. RNAcentral's name for it is "bacterial LSU rRNA". It matches the Rfam family "Bacterial large subunit ribosomal RNA". Lineage: Bacteria; Pseudomonadati; Pseudomonadota; Gammaproteobacteria; Enterobacterales; Enterobacteriaceae. The record is from RNAcentral.
AGCGUACACGGUGGAUGCCCUGGCAGUCAGAGGCGAUGAAGGACGUGCUAAUCUGCGAUAAGCGUCGGUGAGGUGAUAUGAACCGUUAUAACCGGCGAUAGGUGAUAUGAACCGUUAUAACCGGCGAUUUCCGAAUGGGGAAACCCAGUGUGUUUCGACACACUAUCAUUAACUGAAUCCAUAGGUUAAUGAGGCGAACCGGGGGAACUGAAACAUCUAAGUACCCCGAGGAAAAGAAAUCAACCGAGAUUCCCCCAGUAGCGGCGAGCGAACGGGGAGGAGCCCAGAGCCUGAAUCAGUGUGUGUGUUAGUGGAAGCGUCUGGAAAGGCGUGCGAUACAGGGUGACAGCCCCGUACACAAAAAUGCACAUAUUGUGAGCUCGAUGAGUAGGGCGGGACACGUGGUAUCCUGUCUGAAUAUGGGGGGACCAUCCUCCAAGGCUAAAUACUCCUGACUGACCGAUAGUGAACCAGUACCGUGAGGGAAAGGCGAAAAGAACCCCGGCGAGGGGAGUGAAAAAGAACCUGAAACCGUGUACGUACAAGCAGUGGGAGCCUCUUAAUGGGGUGACUGCGUACCUUUUGUAUAAUGGGUCAGCGACUUAUAUUCUGUAGCAAGGUUAACCGAAUAGGGGAGCCGAAGGGAAACCGAGUCUUAACUGGGCGUUAAGUUGCAGGGUAUAGACCCGAAACCCGGUGAUCUAGCCAUGGGCAGCCUUCACCCGGUGAUCUAGCCAUGGGCAGGUUGAAGGUUGGGUAACACUAACUGGAGGACCGAACCGACUAAUGUUGAAAAAUUAGCGGAUGACUUGUGGCUGGGGGUGAAAGGCCAAUCAAACCGGGAGAUAGCUGGUUCUCCCCGAAAGCUAUUUAGGUAGCGCCUCGUGAAUUCAUCUCCGGGGGUAGAGCACUGUUUCGGCAAGGGGGUCAUCCCGACUUACCAACCCGAUGCAAACUGCGAAUACCGGAGAAUGUUAUCACGGGAGACACACGGCGGGUGCUAACGUCCGUCGUGAAGAGGGAAACAACCCAGACCGCCAGCUAAGGUCCCAAAGUCAUGGUUAAGUGGGAAACGAUGUGGGAAGGCCCAGACAGCCAGGAUGUUGGCUUAGAAGCAGCCAUCAUUUAAAGAAAGCGUAAUAGCUCACUGGUCGAGUCGGCCUGCGCGGAAGAUGUAACGGGGCUAAACCAUGCACCGAAGCUGCGGCAGCGACACUAUGUGUUGUUGGGUAGGGGAGCGUUCUGUAAGCCUGUGAAGGUGGCGUUCUGUAAGCCUGUGAAGGUGGCCUGUGAGGGUUGCUGGAGGUAUCAGAAGUGCGAAUGCUGACAUAAGUAACGAUAAAGCGGGUGAAAAGCCCGCUCGCCGGAAGACCAAGGGUUCCUGUCCAACGUUAAUCGGGGCAGGGUGAGUCGACCCCUAAGGCGAGGCCGAAAGGCGUAGUCGAUGGGAAACAGGUUAAUAUUCCUGUACUUGGUGUUACUGCGAAGGGGGGACGGAGAAGGCUAUGUUGGCCGGGCGACGGUUGUCCCGGUUUAAGCGUGUAGGCUGGUUUUCCAGGCAAAUCCGGAAAACCAAGGCUGAGGCGUGAUGACGAGGCACUACGGUGCUGAAGCGACAAAUGCCCUGCUUCCAGGAAAAGCCUCUAAGCAUCAGGUAACAUCAAAUCGUACCCCAAACCGACACAGGUGGUCAGGUAGAGAAUACCAAGGCGCUUGAGAGAACUCGGGUGAAGGAACUAGGCAAAAUGGUGCCGUAACUUCGGGAGAAGGCACGCUGAUAUGUAGGUGAAGCGACUUGCUCGUGGAGCUGAAAUCAGUCGAAGAUACCAGCUGGCUGCAACUGUUUAUUAAAAACACAGCACUGUGCAAACACGAAAGUGGACGUAUACGGUGUGACGCCUGCCCGGUGCCGGAAGGUUAAUUGAUGGGGUUAGCGGCAACGCGAAGCUCUUGAUCGAAGCCCCGGUAAACGGCGGCCGUAACUAUAACGGUCCUAAGGUAGCGAAAUUCCUUGUCGGGUAAGUUCCGACCUGCACGAAUGGCGUAAUGAUGGCCAGGCUGUCUCCACCCGAGACUCAGUGAAAUUGAACUCGCUGUGAAGAUGCAGUGUACCCGCGGCAAGACGGAAAGACCCCGUGAACCUUUACUAUAGCUUGACACUGAACAUUGAGCCUUGAUGUGUAGGAUAGGUGGGAGGCUUUGGGAGGCUUUGAAGUGUGGACGCCAGUCUGCAUGGAGCCGACCUUGAAAUACCACCCUUUAAUGUUUGAUGUUCUAACGUUGGCCCGUAAUCCGGGUUGCGGACAGUGUCUGGUGGGUAGUUUGACUGGGGCGGUCUCCUCCUAAAGAGUAACGGAGGAGCACGAAGGUUGGCUAAUCCUGGUCGGACAUCAGGAGGUUAGUGCAAUGGCAUAAGCCAGCUUGACUGCGAGCGUGACGGCGCGAGCAGGUGCGAAAGCAGGUCAUAGUGAUCCGGUGGUUCUGAAUGGAAGGGCCAUCGCUCAACGGAUAAAAGGUACUCCGGGGAUAACAGGCUGAUACCGCCCAAGAGUUCAUAUCGACGGCGGUGUUUGGCACCUCGAUGUCGGCUCAUCACAUCCUGGGGCUGAAGUAGGUCCCAAGGGUAUGGCUGUUCGCCAUUUAAAGUGGUACGCGAGCUGGGUUUAGAACGUCGUGAGACAGUUCGGUCCCUAUCUGCCGUGGGCGCUGGAGAACUGAGGGGGGCUGCUCCUAGUACGAGAGGACCGGAGUGGACGCAUCACUGGUAUUCGGGUUGUCAUGCCAAUGGCACUGCCCGGUAGCUAAAUGCGGAAGAGAUAAGUGCUGAAAGCAUCUAAGCACGAAACUUGCCCCGAGAUGAGUUCUCCCUGACUCCUUGA